UUCCAGUUCAUCUCAAAGACUGGAGACAACCAUGGCGACUUGGUCCCUCCUGAUGUGUGUGAUGCUGGCUGUAGCCCUGCUGGGCGAAGGCCAGGCUGAUGAACAGCGCGGAAGCAUCGACUCCUCUUCCGGACAGCGACGAGAUGGCGGCGGGGAACGGUUCAUCGGCGGGGAAGGCGAUGAUAUCUACGCCGAUAUCUACGAAGCCAACCGCGACUGGAUAGACAAAAUUAUAGAAAACGAUGAACUCUGACAUUGUCACAGUAUAGGUGAACUCUGUUGAACUCUGCCAUCGUUACAGUAUAGGUAAACUCUGUUCACUUUGACAUUGUUACAGUAUCUAUAGGCAAACUUUGUUCACAUUGUCAACAUUGUUACAGUAUACCUAUGUAAAGUCUGUUGAGUUUGACAUUGUUAUAGUAUAGAUUUACUUUCUUGAAUUCUGUGCCCGUUAUAGUAAUAGUCAAACACUGCGCCUGGCGAAAAUGUUCAUUCUAUCAUUUGUAGUGAUUGUUAUACUCUGUUAACGUAUAGCUUUGCAAUGUUCGUAACAUAAUUUCACGACCAACUCUAUCAACUUUCUGUGUUUAAAAACAUUCAUUUAUGGUUAAUAGAAUUUUUCAUCGAUCAGUGACUUAUCAAAGGUAAGUAAAACGUACCUCCAAAUUUUCGAUGGCUAUCCAGUCCAUCUUGUUCACGGAGUGACCUAGUUCUCGCGAGAGUUGCGAGAACUAGGUCAAGACUUGCUUGGAUCUUCUGUCCCCCACCCCACGUUUUACUUACCUUUGAUAAGUCACUGAUCGAUGAAAAAUUCUAUUAACUGUGAACAUACGUGACUAAUGAAUCUCUUCAACGACAUUCAUUUAUGUCUUUCUCCCAUGCAUCGCGCAUGUACGUAAUAUAUACAAUGUAACAACACUGUUCUCACUGUUCAUGUCAGUCUAAUGUUCAUUGUUAUAACACACCCAAAAACUGGUAACGAAUCUGUUCCUUUGUUCGUCGUGACACUUGAACUCCGCAGCACAUGUAACCCCAGAACGUGGCUUGAAUAACGUGAAGUGUAAACAAUAAAAUGAUGAGUGGCGAAACAUUA
Long non-coding RNA from Branchiostoma floridae (Florida lancelet), 1093 nucleotides. RefSeq lists it as uncharacterized. The transcript is spliced from 2 exons. Lineage: Eukaryota; Metazoa; Chordata; Leptocardii; Amphioxiformes; Branchiostomatidae. The record is from RefSeq and is a predicted model, not a curated record.